UGCAUGUUUAGUAACCCAGGUAGUUUUUCCAGCUCCUGGCAAGCCAAUCAUCAUCACAACUUCACAAUCUUUCUUCUCUUCAGGCCCCUUUGGUCCUCUAACUCGAUCCUCUAAGGGGACGUUCUGGAUGAAAGUAUACUCUUCAGGUAUUGGAAAAUAUGGCUUUUCCUUCUGACCAAAAUUAAAUUCAACUGCACAGUUGUGGCAGAGAACAUGCGGGAACAGUGGCCGUCCAGCAAGAACUUCCUUACUGAUUUUGAAGGCAACGCCAAGAUCUUGUCCAUUCUUAGCAUACGAGAGUUCUACUUCAUCACUUUCAAAGUUAGCAAAACAUGUAAUCACAUCAUUUUCAUCAAACUUUUCUCCAUAAUCUUCAGUCUCACAGUUGCAUGUUUUUAUUCCUUUUAGAGAAUACCCAUAAGAAAAUUCUUCUUCACCAAGUAACAUUCCACUUGUAGUUAGUGACCAGCCAAUACGAACUUCAUGUAUGUCAAUAUCUUUUGUAUAUAAAUGCCUUACUGGGAUCUUCUCUGUAACCUUCAUCUCAAAACACACUUUGCCUUUUGACACACCAUAGGAUGCUCUUCCUCCAGCCCAAAGAAAAGCAAAACUCUCCAUUGUAAGGGAAGAAGCACUGAGACGAUCUCUUGAUAUUUUAAAAUGUAGAUCACAAUUAUAAGUAUCAAGACAAACCACUGUGUCAUCGAAGUGUUCAUCUUCUUCUUCAACAGGUGGCUGAGGAGAUUUGGCUCUGCUAUACUUGUUCUCUUCAAUGUACUCAAAAUAUCCACGGCCAUGAUCUUCUCGUGGUCUUUUAACACCCCUCUUUUUAUCUCCGCCUUUCUGUUCUGUUUUGCCGUCCCCUCCCGCCUGCUGCUGGCCCUGCCUCGCCCCGGGCGGCGCCACCGUCACCGCGAACAGCGAGGUGGGGCCGCUGCUCUUCCCCGCGGCCUCCUUGGCGGCCCCGCGCUGCUGUUGGGGCUGUUGCUGCUGCGUCGCCGGCGGUUGAGGCUGCUGCUCCCCGUGCCCGUUCUCGUCGCCCGCGCCUUCCUCUUCGUCCCCGAGCUCAUCUUCCCCUUCCUGGAAACCCUGAUCGUCGCCGUUCUCGUCUUCCGAGGCGGCCUCCUCCUCCUCCAUCGGGCCCGAGUCGGCCGCCCCCGCGGCCCCGUUCUCCUCUCCUAGCUCCAUCUGGUCGCCGUCCAGAGCGGAGAUUCCUUCCUCCUCCUCUUCCUCUUCCUCCUCCUCUUCAUCGCCGCCGGCCGCGGCCUCCUGCUCGAGGCCUGCUCCCGAGCGCCCAGCGGAAUCCCCGCCCAGGUCUAGGCUGCCGUUCCCGGGCUCCAUGGCGGGGCGGCCCCCGGCCUCCUCGUCGUCCAGCGCAGCCUGGAGUCGCUCCAUGAGCUCGGCCUUGAGACCCUUGUCAGAAAGGCGUCGCUUCUUGAGCUCCUCUUUCAGCUCCGACACCUUCAGCUUUUUUACAUUAACAGGCGAGGAACUCAUGGUGAGGGCCCCGAUUCACCGCUAGGCGCUGCCUCAAACUCGGCUCCGCUCACUCGGCCACUGGUGGCGGCUGCUGCGGCUGCUCCUCGGCCCGGGCGGCGGCUGCGGCUGCGGCUGGAGAUGGGUUCGUGCUGCAGAGCGGAUCCGCCUGGUGUCGAACGGCGCCAAUUCCUUUCACCGAGUUCGCGAGGGAGACGCGGAGACUCGCCU
This 1707-nucleotide long non-coding RNA is filed under the name Homo sapiens (human). Its description in RNAcentral is "LNC_000248". The record is from RNAcentral. Lineage: Eukaryota; Metazoa; Chordata; Mammalia; Primates; Hominidae.